AUACGUAGGGGGCGAGCGUUGUCCGGAAUGAUUGGGCGUAAAGGGCGCGUAGGCGGCCCGGUAAGUCUGGAGUGAAAGUCCUGUUUUUAAGAUGGGAAUUGCUUUGGAUACUGUCGGGCUUGAGUGCAGGAGAGGUAAGUGGAAUUCCCAGUGUCGCGGUGAAAUGCGUAGAGAUUGGGAGGAACACCAGUGGCGAAGGCGACUUACUGGACUGUAACUGACGCUGAGGCGCGAAAGUGUGGGGAGCAAACAGGAUUAGAUACCCUGGUAGUCCACACUGUAAACGAUGAAUGCUAGGUGUAGGGGGUAUCGACCCCUUCUGUGCCGCAGUCAACACAAUAAGCAUUCCGCCUGGGGAGUACGGCCGCAAGGUUGAAACUCAAAGGAAUUGACGGGG
Molecule: ribosomal RNA, 397 nt
Filed under: uncultured bacterium
Lineage: Bacteria
Description: partial 16S ribosomal RNA
Rfam family: Bacterial small subunit ribosomal RNA
Source: RNAcentral